This 450-nucleotide ribosomal RNA is filed under the name uncultured bacterium. Its description in RNAcentral is "bacterial SSU rRNA". It matches the Rfam family "Bacterial small subunit ribosomal RNA", at positions 354 to 796 of the family's 1533-position model. The record is from RNAcentral.
GUGGGGAAUUUUGCGCAAUGGGCGAAAGCCUGACGCAGCAACGCCGCGUGGGUGAUGAAGGUCUUCGGAUUGUAAAACCCUGUCGUCAGGGACGAAGGUUGUGGGGUGAAUAGCCUUGCAGCUUGACGGUACCUGGAGAGGAAGCCCCGGCUAACUCUGUGCCAGCAGCCGCGGUAAUACAGAGGGGGCAAGCGUUAUUCGGAAUUAUUGGGCGUAAAGGGCGCGUAGGCGGUGAUUUAAGUCGGAUGUGUAAUCCCCGGGCUCAACCUGGGAACUGCAUCCGAGACUGGAUUGCUAGAGUGCUGGAGAGGGUGGUGGAAUUCCUCGUGUAGCGGUGAAAUGCGUAGAGAUGAGGAGGAACACCAGUGGCGAAGGCGGCCACCUGGACAGUAACUGACGCUGAGGCGCGAAAGUGUGGGGAGCAAACAGGAUUAGAAACCCCAGUAGUCC